RNAcentral lists this ribosomal RNA (510 nucleotides) under Fusobacterium sp. enrichment culture DGGE band 49. RNAcentral's name for it is "bacterial SSU rRNA". It matches the Rfam family "Bacterial small subunit ribosomal RNA", at positions 378 to 905 of the family's 1533-position model. The record is from RNAcentral. Lineage: Bacteria; Fusobacteriati; Fusobacteriota; Fusobacteriia; Fusobacteriales; Fusobacteriaceae.
AAAGUCUGAUCCAGCAAUUCUGUGUGCACGAUGACGGUCUUCGGAUUGUAAAGUGCUUUCAGUUGGGAAGAAAGAAAUGACGGUACCAACAGCAAGAAGCGACGGCUAAAUACGUGCCAGCAGCCGCGGUAAUACGUAUGUCGCAAGCGUUAUCCGGAUUUAUUGGGCGUAAAGCGCGUCUAGGUGGUUUGAUAAGUCUGAUGUGAAAAUGCGGGGCUCAACUCCGUAUUGCGUUGGAAACUGUCAAACUAGAGUAUCGGAGAGGUGGGCGGAACUACAAGUGUAGAGGUGAAAUUCGUAGAUAUUUGUAGGAAUGCCGAUAGAGAAGUCAGCUCACUGGACGAAUACUGACACUGAAGCGCGAAAGCAUGGGGAGCAAACAGGAUUAGAUACCCUGGUAGUCCAUGCCGUAAACGAUGAUUACUAAGCGUCGGGGGUCGAACCUCGGCACUCAAGCUAACGCGAUAAGUAAUCCGCCUGGGGAGUACGUACGCAAGUAUGAAACUCAAA